This 450-nucleotide ribosomal RNA is filed under the name uncultured bacterium. Its description in RNAcentral is "partial 16S ribosomal RNA". It matches the Rfam family "Bacterial small subunit ribosomal RNA", at positions 354 to 796 of the family's 1533-position model. The record is from RNAcentral.
GUGGGGAAUAUUGGACAAUGGGCGCAAGCCUGAUCCAGCAAUGCCGCGUGCAGGAAGAAGGCCUUCGGGUUGUAAACUGCUUUUGUACGGAACGAAACGGUCCUGGCUAAUACCCGGGGCUAAUGACGGUACCGUAAGAAUAAGCACCGGCUAACUACGUGCCAGCAGCCGCGGUAAUACGUAGGGUGCGAGCGUUAAUCGGAAUUACUGGGCGUAAAGCGUGCGCAGGCGGUGCUGUAAGACAGGCGUGAAAUCCCCGGGCUCAACCUGGGAAUUGCGCUUGUGACUGCAGUGCUGGAGUGCGGCAGAGGGGGAUGGAAUUCCGCGUGUAGCAGUGAAAUGCGUAGAUAUGCGGAGGAACACCGAUGGCGAAGGCAAUCCCCUGGGCCUGCACUGACGCUCAUGCACGAAAGCGUGGGGAGCAAACAGGAUUAGAUACCCCGGUAGUCC